GGACACUACAGCAUGGGAGCUUUCAGAGGCUGCCACGCCAGCAUCAGUGAUUGUCUCCGGUGAUGGAGCGCACUCUGCUCCAUGUUGAAGCAACACAGGAGCAGUCUCCUUAUUUCAGCAGAGGGCAGCAGUGUUGCUGUGAGCCUAAAGAUAUAAAGAAAAGGAGGACUUGUAACAAGAGGAGAAAGAAGCAGGAAAAUUAUAUAUAAUGAUGUAGCAACUCUAACAGCGCUGAUCCUCC
Molecule: long non-coding RNA, 241 nt
Organism: Rhea pennata
Lineage: Eukaryota; Metazoa; Chordata; Aves; Rheiformes; Rheidae
Exons: 3
Source: RefSeq, a predicted model, not a curated record